CGCCGCGUGAAGGAUGAAGCUUUCGGGACGUAAACUUCUUUUAUCGAGGAAGAAGAAUGUGACGGUACUCGAUGAAUAAGCCCCGGCUAACUACGUGC
This 98-nucleotide ribosomal RNA is filed under the name uncultured bacterium. RNAcentral's name for it is "partial 16S ribosomal RNA". It matches the Rfam family "Bacterial small subunit ribosomal RNA", at positions 395 to 508 of the family's 1533-position model. The record is from RNAcentral.